This is a long non-coding RNA of Frieseomelitta varia, 407 nucleotides long. RefSeq lists it as uncharacterized. The transcript has 3 exons. Lineage: Eukaryota; Metazoa; Arthropoda; Insecta; Hymenoptera; Apidae. The record is from RefSeq and is a predicted model, not a curated record.
AAAAUUUUUGUGACUGCGUGCAAUGCGGUUGGUAGAGUCAGUGUUUGUUGCGAAAUAUUUUUAUAUUUUUCUGAGCAAAAUGGCUCUCAUUAAAUUAAAUAAUCAAUCCAUUCAAACUGUAAUUCGCGAAGUUAGAGUCAGUGAGUCUAUCGAUUGUUAUUUAAACGCGCGCGUUGAUAGUCUUUCAUUUUUAUUUUUUUGUAUUUUCUUUUGUCGAAUAUUCGUUUUCGUUAUUAGAGUUAGUGCUCAAGAGGAUAAGGCCUCUCCUUAGAUCAAGAUCACGCUUCACAGCAUCAAGUUUUGCAUUUUUUGGGGAAAAUCCAACGGUGACUCUAGAGUCAAUAAUAUCUCCUAGAGUCUCUACUUCCCCUGAUCCUGCAAGAAUCUUAUGAUGCUUCAAAAGUUAA